Molecule: ribosomal RNA, 1085 nt
Filed under: Dicephalospora rufocornea
Lineage: Eukaryota; Fungi; Ascomycota; Leotiomycetes; Helotiales; Helotiaceae
Description: partial 18S ribosomal RNA
Rfam family: Eukaryotic small subunit ribosomal RNA
Source: RNAcentral
GUGAAACUGCGAAUGGCUCAUUAAAUCAGUUAUCGUUUAUUUGAUAGUACCUUACUACUUGGAUAACCGUGGUAAUUCUAGAGCUAAUACAUGCUAAAAACCCCGACUUCGGAAGGGGUGUAUUUAUUAGAUAAAAAACCAAUGCCCUUCGGGGCUCUUUGGUGAUUCAUAAUAACUUAACGAAUCGCAUGGCCUUGUGCCGGCGAUGGUUCAUUCAAAAUUUCUGGCCCUAUCAAACUUUCGAUGGUAGGGAUAGUGGCCUACCAUGGUUUCAACGGGGUAACGGGGAAUUAGGGUUCUAUUCCGGAGAGGGAGCCUGAGAAAACGGCUACCACAUCCAAGGAAGGCAGCAGGCGCGCAAAUUACCCAAUCCCGACACGGGGGAGGUAGUGACAAUAAAUACUGAUACAGGGCUCUUUUGGGUCUUGUAAUUGGAAUGAGUACAAUUUAAAUCCCUUAACGAGGAACAAUUGGAGGGCAAGUCUGGUGGACUGCACGUCCCGCUAGUGGUCUCCCACUAGCCUGUGCUGCUGACGCCAGAGAGAGCAAGCCUAGGGUGAUGCCUGGCUACUAGUCGACUGUACGCUUAGUUUGGGAGUACAGCGGCAAGACAACCUGGAUCGGGGGAAGCUAAGGGGCUCACGCCCUAUGCCAACACCGAGCCGAGCUUGCAGCGAUGCAAGCCGGUGUAGAGCGCGCCAAGGUGUCGGCUGUCUGCUAUGGGCAGACAGCUUAAGGUACGUGCCGGCCCAUGCGAAAGCAUGCUGUGAUCACUAGCUCCCACAAGCGAAGGGUUACGGGCAUUACUUGUGCUGUAAUGCGGGUUUUGAACUAGUUCAAAUAAUAACGGCCAGCAGCCGCGGUAAUUCCAGCUCCAAUAGCGUAUAUUAAAGUUGUUGCAGUUAAAAAGCUCGUAGUUGAACCUUGGGCCUGGCUGGCCGGUCCGCCUCACCGCGUGCACUGGUCCGGCCGGGCCUUUCCUUCUGGGGAGCCGCAUGCCCUUCACUGGGUGUGUCGGGGAACCAGGACUUUUACUUUGAAAAAAUUAGAGUGUUCAAAGCAGGCCUAUGCUCGAAUACAUUAGC